Molecule: ribosomal RNA, 245 nt
Filed under: uncultured Lactobacillus sp.
Lineage: Bacteria; Bacillati; Bacillota; Bacilli; Lactobacillales; Lactobacillaceae
Description: partial 16S ribosomal RNA
Rfam family: Bacterial small subunit ribosomal RNA
Source: RNAcentral
UGGGGAACCUGCCCCAUAGUCUGGGAUACCACUUGGAAACAGGUGCUAAUACCGGAUAAUAAAGCAGAUCGCAUGAUCAGCUUUUAAAAGGCGGCGUAAGCUGUCGCUAUGGGAUGGCCCCGCGGUGCAUUAGCUAGUUGGUAAGGUAAAGGCUUACCAAGGCGAUGAUGCAUAGCCGAGUUGAGAGACUGAUCGGCCACAUUGGGACUGAGACACGGCCCAAACUCCUACGGGAGGCAGCAGCC